GCGAGGGGCCCAAAGGGGGACGACCUGCUUGUCUGUCAGAGUGAGAAGACGACCUGGAUUCGGAUGAGUGGAAAGCAUUCUCAGCACUGAAAACCACUGCAGAUUGUUUCAUGAUGGUGAAGACCACUCAGUGCCUUUGUGAAGAUGGAACCCAAUAGACACAGUUCAGAACAAAUUCGACUUAGGCUACCUUCAGUUCAGAACAACUAGAAUUCUACACUCUGUAAUGAAGAACUCUGCAAAUACUUUGUGGUCUUCAGUGCUGCUUCAUGUAGAGGUCCAUGUACCCGGCACCUCCAGCUCUUGUUCAGGCUAUGUAUUUGUAGAGAUACCUCAAAGGUACGCAAGCAAAGUUUUUGGGCAUUCAGGAACAUCUUGAAAGAGGAUGGAACCUGGCAGCAAAUGUCCCACCAGGAGGGGCAGAGCGAGUACUCAGGCAGUCUUGGCACACCUGACAGCCAAAGCAGCUAUUUCCUUUUUCAUGCAGCUGAGUUUUCUCCAUUGCUUAUUCGAUCGUCUCUAGUGUUGCUUUCUGAAAAUCUGUAAGAGGAGGUAGACCUUUAGUCCAGAUAUCUUAUUGUGCUGAGUAUCCUAGCUCUAAUCUAGUUCCUCCUUUCCUCACUGCUGCUGACAACAAAACGGAAAAGUCUCCAGCUGCUUCUAAAUUCUUUUCAAAGAACACAAACAGUGUAGCUGCCCAGUACUCUAAGCAGCAUGAGAAAGACAAAUGAAAUGGUUGGCAUGUCUCUCACAACGACAUAGUACACAGAGAACACAGAGCAGCACAAUAAUAAGUACUGAGCUAUCAGUUGGAAUACUUGCAACAGAAAUCCAGACCUAAGUAGAAAAACAAAACCUUCAUAGAUACCUAGCAAGAAAUUGGAGGAAAGGUAGCAAUGGAAAGUGCUUAGUUAGAGAUUCUCAGCUGUACCGAGAAUGUGGGAUUUCUCCAUUGUUCCUAUUUGCCAUUUAUCACUAAAAUGUUGACUUCUGUGGCUUAUAGGACAGCGGUCACCUGGCACGAAAACAUGACAGUACUUGUACUAUGCAUUUCAAGAGCAGUAAUUCCCAGCCAUACAUGGCAGUUCAUGCCUAAAUUAGUUAAGGCUAAAUCAACUCGAAAUUCACAUGUACAGGGCCACCAGUCACAUUUUAAAGCAGAGAUGCAUACAUCACUGGUGGCUGUCAUACCACACACAGCACAGGCCGAGAGAGAUCUUUGACUUUCCACAGAGCAUUAUUGUGGAACAUUAAAUUUUAGCAAAAAGGAUGAAAGUCUUCCUAUGUUGCUUUCUUAAGAGACAAGACGUUUUCCCCAAACUCUCAUAGCAGACCUGUCUUUAUAGAUCUCUGAGUAGAGCUGAUUUUUAUGGAUUUUUGGAUCAAGAUCCUGAAAAGGGAAAGAUUGUUGGGCCUAUCAAUCUGGCACAGAUGUCUGUGUGGCGUUGGUGUCUCAGCCACUCAUGGAGCAAGCUACACUGUACGACUGUGUUCAAUAAAACUUCAUUGAUAUAAAGCGGCAGAGGGCCAGUCUGGGCCCUCCUGCUGUAGAUUGUACACCUCUAUUUUAACGUGUAAGACUGAAGUCUGUAGUAGGACUUCUUUGGUUUGUGUUUUAAGGAUUGGUUAAACACGUCUUUCUCACCUUCA
Long non-coding RNA from Cavia porcellus (domestic guinea pig), 1650 nucleotides. RefSeq lists it as uncharacterized. The record is from RefSeq and is a predicted model, not a curated record. NCBI's taxonomy places the organism in Eukaryota, Metazoa, Chordata, Mammalia, Rodentia, Caviidae. The transcript has 2 exons.